GUCCACGCCGUAAACGAUGUCAACUAGCCGUUGGGAGCCUUGAGCUCUUAGUGGCGCAGCUAACGCAUUAAGUUGACCGCCUGGGGAGUACGGCCGCAAGGUUAAACUCAAAUGAAUUGACGGGGGCCCGCACAAGCGGUGGAGCAUGUGGUUUAAUUCGAAGCAACGCGAAGAACCUUACCAGGCCUUGACAUCCAGUGAAUCUGCCAGAGAUGGCGGAGUGCCUUCGGGAACACUGAGACAGGUGCUGCAUGGCUGUCGU
RNAcentral lists this ribosomal RNA (262 nucleotides) under uncultured bacterium. RNAcentral's name for it is "partial 16S ribosomal RNA". It matches the Rfam family "Bacterial small subunit ribosomal RNA", at positions 793 to 1055 of the family's 1533-position model. The record is from RNAcentral.